This 168-nucleotide ribosomal RNA is filed under the name uncultured bacterium. Its description in RNAcentral is "partial 16S ribosomal RNA". It matches the Rfam family "Bacterial small subunit ribosomal RNA", at positions 462 to 629 of the family's 1533-position model. The record is from RNAcentral.
GAAGAUAAUGACGGUAGUCGGAGAAGAAGCCCCGGCUAACUUCGUGCCAGCAGCCGCGGUAAUACGAAGGGGGCUAGCGUUGUUCGGAAUUACUGGGCGUAAAGCGCACGUAGGCGGAUAUUUAAGUCAGGGGUGAAAUCCCGCAGCUCAACUGCGGAACUGCCUUUG